ACCCCAUCUUCCUGCCAUGGCAAAAGUUUAGUUAUUGGGUUUCUGAAAUUUCCCAACACUCGAUCCCUAAGUCCAGUGUCAGUCACCUCACAAAACCUACUGGCCCAAUCCGGUGGCUCAACGGCCCUAGUCCCCAACCCGGGGACACGAUCCUUGGACCCAACAUUCUGUUCAUCCUGCCAAUCAGCCACAUAAGUAGCCACCCUCCGGUAAAAUUUCUCCUUGAACACC
Molecule: unclassified non-coding RNA, 231 nt
Filed under: Hevea brasiliensis (rubber tree)
Lineage: Eukaryota; Viridiplantae; Streptophyta; Magnoliopsida; Malpighiales; Euphorbiaceae
Source: RNAcentral